AUUAGUCAAUGCUCGCAAGAGUGAACUAGCUAACUGGAAUCAUGAGUGUGUCACUUGUGAUAAGGUAAAGGAAAAAUUAUGAUGUCACUUUACUAGUAGUGUUGUCCAAAGCUGGUGCCAGAAGACUCGGUAAUGCCAGAGACGCAAGCGUUAAUCAUCCUAAUCAGGCGUAAAGGGUUUGUAGGCAGCUUUAAAAUAAUUAAAGAUAGAAUCAUAUAGAGGUCACUUUGAGAGAAUUCUUAGAGUAGGGUUGAUAUCUGUAGAUACUAAGAGGAAUACUAAUUAGCGAAGGCACUUUUCCAAAUUAUGAUUGACGCUGAGAAACGAAGGGGAGGAUAGAAAAUAGGAUUGGAUACCCUGGUAUCCCUCUCUGUCAACGAUGAAUGGUAGUUGCUAGUAUAAGUUUAUUAGUGGCGAUGCUAACGCGUUAACCAUUCCGCCUUGUGAGUACGACUGCAAAGUUGAAAACAAAAAAAUUAGUCGGUUUCGGAGCAAACGAAGUGAAGCAUGUUAUUUAAUUC
Molecule: ribosomal RNA, 521 nt
Filed under: Lysurus mokusin
Lineage: Eukaryota; Fungi; Basidiomycota; Agaricomycetes; Phallales; Phallaceae
Description: partial small subunit ribosomal RNA
Rfam family: Bacterial small subunit ribosomal RNA
Source: RNAcentral